This is a long non-coding RNA of Pongo pygmaeus (Bornean orangutan), 2759 nucleotides long. RefSeq lists it as uncharacterized. The record is from RefSeq and is a predicted model, not a curated record. The transcript has 2 exons. Lineage: Eukaryota; Metazoa; Chordata; Mammalia; Primates; Hominidae.
GUUCUCCCCUCCCCUCUCCUCUUCUCUCUCAUCCUCUCCCUUCUCUCUUCCCCCUCCAGCCUCCACUCCUUCGCCCGCUCACUCACCCUCUCCCUCUCCCGCUGCCCCCCCUUUCUCCCCCACCUCUUUGUUUCAGCUGAGAACCAGCUCCUCGGGACAGUUCCCACACUGCAGUGCCUCUGGUGAGGAGACAGCGCCACUGAGUCUUGGGCCAACGUGGUACCACACCUGAGAUCAGCACGAGCAGCAGGUCAUCAGCUGUGAGUCCCUCGGCCAGUUGCCGGAUGGCCAGCGCAGCCCGCAGCGCAUCGCGGUCCGGGAGGUUGUCCUCCGCACCCUCGAAUACCUGGACACGGCUAUGUGGCUUCAGCAGCAUCUCCCUGGGGAGGGAAAGGUCAGCGCGCAAGAGAUGGGGUGGACUCCUCUCCUCCCCCCGAUCUCUCAACUUUACAGGUGAUGGGGGCAUGAACGAAGAUGCCCACCGACAUGCAUCCUGGGGCCAGGCCAGACCCGGGAGAAAAGGGAAGCGGGUGGGGAGGGGAGGUCCGAUUCAGCCUGUGUCUGGGCCCAGGUUUCCCUCCAGAUAGACAGCGGGAGGCAGCCCCCCAUGGCUCCUUACUGCUUGCCGGCGCGCUCCAUGGCAGCACGGAUCCCCUUGGGAACGCUGAUCACGCCCUGCACAAGAUGCUGGCCCAGUAGUUCCUCAGCUGCAGCUGCCAUGCCCAGCACAGCCUUGCCAAAGCCCACCAGGUAGAGGUUUUGCCUCAGCUGAAAGUUCCGGUCCCGCACCUGCAGCUGUCUGCCACCAGGGUCCAAGGAUAGUGCCCGGUGCAGCAUGGGGCCCGGCAGCACUGCACCUACAGCAGUCUCAAACAGCUGCCUGGCCUGCUCUGCCAAGGCCAUGCUGCUGGCCAGACGGGCCACUGAGCCCCGCCAGAGGAGUGGAUGCAAGGGGGCUCGGGCCAAGCGGGGCAGGACCUGCAGGGCUGCAGCCAUGCCCCACUGCUCUCAGCACUGCCUGGCACCCAUGGCUGCCUAGAGGGAAAAAACACAACUGAGGCCCUUGCAAGGCAAAAGACAGGAGGUCCCCCACGGCCUCCCCUCUGAGGGCUCAGGGCCAGUGGACCCCACAGCUGCUGCUACAAGAAGGAGCCAUCUGAUAGCCCCAGGAGACUUCCUGAAGCCUGCAGCUGCAGGAUCUCACUCGUCCUUGGAAACCAGCCCUGCCACCCAGCCACGUCCUCCUCUUCUGCAGACCACAUGCCGGCCCUCUGGAUACUCUGCCUCAAGUCCAAAGUUCCUAUUAGCUGGGCCCUCCUCCCAGGUCACCCCUUUGGCUGGGAGUUAAUCAUUGACAGAGGGAGUAAUUUCUACCAGUGGGCUCCCAUCCCACCCCUUUUCCACCCCCUGCACUUCUGAGCUCUUACCCAGGGGCAACGCCCCUUUCUGGCACUCCUUCCUUGCCUCUUUACCACCUCUGCUGCCAGGAAGCUGUUGAUUGUCCCACCAACUGACCCCGAGCCCAUUGACCUCCAGUCUUCUCUAUUUCAUUAUCUCAUGAGACAGGGAUUAGGAGCCUGGGAAGCCAGGGUCUAUAGGAGGCUGCAGGUUUAUCAGGUCAAACCCAGAACACAUCCUCAGGGCCAGCAAUCUGAGGAAUCUCAGUAUUCAGGGCCAGUUCGGCAAGAGGUUUAGGUUCAAAUCAGGAGUGAGGGCAAAGUCUGGCUCAUGGUGGAACCUUAGAAAAGUCCCCAGGCACCAUGUGAGGCCAUGUGCCAUGAAGCCCAAUUGCAGGACAGAAAAGGAUGCCCUUCUACCCACACAGUUGGCCAGACCCAACCCUGCCAAGAACACCCCUUCUGGUUCCAAGAUAACAAAAACAAGUCCUAGGUCACACCACCCACAGUGGUGAGAGCCCAAGGGCUGAAAUAGGCAAAGGCCAGGCUCCCAUAACUGAGCCCAUAGCCAUUUUCCCCACUGGGCAGAGUAAAAGCUAAAGCAGCCUUGGGGCGAAGGUCAGGAAGCUGUAGAAGGGUAUAGGAACAGCAAAGACCCAAAGAGCUCAUCUGUACUACACACGUACUAUUGCAUCUACUUUAAUAAAUGCCUACCAUAAAUGCUGCAAGCUGACUUCAACAGCAAGUAUGGACUGAGCAGGGUAAGGAGGCUGGGAAUUGAGGUUCCAGCUCUACUAUAGGUUUUCUGAGUGGCUGGGACACCUCCAUUUCUCUCACUGGGCCUCAUCCGCAAAAUGAGACACGGGGUGAGAUUAACACUACGCUCUCCCCUUAACAACCUCAGGCUCUCUGAUACUGUCCACUGCAACACAGAUCUCAAACACCGGUUUACCCCACACCCAAAUAUGGUGGUUACUUCUAGACUUUGACCAUUUUGCCUGCCUAGUUCUCAGCUCUCCCAUAAGAAAAGACAGCCAUGCCUGACUUCUGUUGUGAAAGGGAACACAGAGGGCAAUGUCAUGGGGAUUCCGAAAAUGGGUCCAGUUUUGGCCAGGGGAACCCCUGCAGCUUGCCCAUUAGACUUGGAGCUAAAAGCAUCUUAGCAACUAAGACAGCCGGUCUUUAUAGCCUGGGUGAAAUUUGUAUCUAUUUCCCAGAUGGACAAGAGCCUAGAAGAUCCCAGCCUUGCCACUGGCUAUGAGCACAGGACAGGGGGAGGCUCAAUGCUAAGGCUGCCAGAGAAAAUACAGGACGUCCAGUUAAAUUUGAAUUUCAAAUAAACAAGUAAUUUUUAAAGUAUAA